AACUUCGUAGCACAAUCUUGAAAUAGAACUACUUAUAACAUAUAACUGUCUAGCUUCGUGGUGAGAAGACAUGCAAACCAUUUCAGCUUCUGUGUGAUCAAAGUCUGAAGACAUGCAAAAAGGAAUACCAGGAGACAGUUCUUCGUGUACAUGGUUCCAUCUUCCUCUACUGGGUAGAAAAAAUACUGGGCAGCGUUGUUUUCUGCACGUGCUUUUCCUGGAGGAUUUCUGGAGCUACAAGCAAAUCGUGAACCUCAGCAAAGGUCCCUUGAACCAGACAUUUUCUCUGCUGUGUCAUGAGAUUGAACAGUACGUCAAACAGCAGUUCAAGACUGGUACUGUUGUCAUGUCUUUCUGCACUUCCGUUUAAGGUAUCGUUACAUGCUAGACUGUAGUGAAUGUAAAUCAUAUGUUUGUCUCAAUUCCUACGCAAAUUCUGGAGCAGCUUUGUGAUGGGGUAGAGCUCUGUGUUGGAUUUCCCUGCACCUCCACUUCCCAUGAGGUCCCUAAAGAGCAGAAGGGCUUUUCAAUUCAAAAUCCUGGAGCAACUGAAAAAGGAGAGAAUAAAGUGACU
Molecule: long non-coding RNA, 574 nt
Filed under: Anser brachyrhynchus (Pink-footed goose)
Lineage: Eukaryota; Metazoa; Chordata; Aves; Anseriformes; Anatidae
Description: lncRNA (ENSABRG00000008931.1)
Source: RNAcentral